GGAUGAGAGGGUGAUCUGACAGGAACAGCUGUCAUCCGUCAUCCCAUUGACCUUCAGGGUUAAUUCACCUGAUCUGGCUGGCUGACUAAGGGUCAUCUCCACUCGCCCUCACUACCCCAUGGGCAUCCCUUUUGAAACUGCUUGAAUGAUAAUUUAAAAAAAGAGCCCUUCUUUCAUCAGGAAUGGCUAUUCAUUCUUUCAACAAAUAUGUAUUGAGCUUCUAGAUAUCAAACAUUGUCUAGUAUAUGCUGGUGAACAAGACAAAUUAAACUUCUAUGCUCAGGGUAAGGAUGCAGAGAA
RNAcentral lists this small RNA (300 nucleotides) under Pteropus vampyrus (large flying fox). RNAcentral describes it as "7SK RNA (ENSPVAG00000029372.1)". Lineage: Eukaryota; Metazoa; Chordata; Mammalia; Chiroptera; Pteropodidae. The record is from RNAcentral.